GCAGCUGCCGGACACCAGGAGACGAUGGAAGGUCUAUAGUGUUACAGCUCUGACCCAGGAAGUCCCAGGGUCUUGCCUUCCAGAAGGGUCGCGGCUCUUCCCUCCCUCAGUCCAACGAACAGGAGCACGUCACCUCCCGCAGCUCGGGGAGCUGGCCAGGAACGUGUUACAGCCCGUUUCGCUCCUGUCCGCAGCUGGGUGAGGCAGCCAGGAAAAUAUUACAGCUCUUCUCACGCCCGCCAUUCAGCAGGUCCUGACUUCUUGUGUGACAUCCAGAAGAAAGGGGUUACACAGACAGCUGGAGGGUGAGCAAAGUGGAGAAGUUCUCAGCAGAGAGGAGACUGGAGUGAGUUGCCCCUACCCGCAGGUGCCAACUGUAAUACAUCAGUAGCUGAACAGCUCAUUGCCCUCAAGUGUUCUUGCUCAUGCCUGGCUGAGUUAUUGAAGAAAUUGCUCAGAUCUCAAGCCCUUGUAGAUCACUGGUCCUGGCAGAUGUUAUACGUGAACAGAAAAGCCUGAACUAGGGAACUGACCAUGAAACUAAAAAGGAGAAAGCAUAUGCAAGUGGACACAAUAUUAUACACCCGUGAUAUUGAUGGCAGUGGCUGCUGCUGUCGUGGCUGCUGCUAUCACGCCUGCUGCAACACAGAGGUGCGACUGGGGCUGCACAUUUCACGGAGGUGUUGGGAGUUCCGCCCCUUCUGAUGUGGGGAAAGAGAUCCCCAGGUGCCCCUGCAUCUGCCCAAACUGUGGCUGUGGAUCGGAGGCUCCAGGUUGGCAGGUUGGGAGCUUCCGGGUGCAGCUGCGACCGCCCUCCCAGGUGCAGGACCCUGGUGUUUCUGCAGCCUGCACCCUUGGGGGCCCCAGGAAAGACCCAUAUCCUUGCAGGCUUGGAGGUGUUUGCUUCUUCUGCCUGGCCUCUCUCGGCUCCCGGUGCAUGCUCUCAUAUCUGAGUGGGGGUUGGUGCUGAGCCCCGGGGCCGUGAAUUGCAGCAGGAGGCAGAUUUAUUCCUGGGCAGAAGGUGGCAGAUCCCAAGUAAGGGGACCUUCAAGCCAGGGAGGGCCUGAAGGCUGGUGGCUGGGCUACCAGUCCCACCGACCAGAGUGGGGAUUCGUGGGCCUCUUCUGGGCCACCCAUAGCCACCCAUGGACCAAUCAGCAAGCACAUCCUCCCCUCUGAGGUCCGUAAAAGCCCUGGGCGCAGCCUGAGCAGGGCAGAGGAAGGCCAGAGGUGAAGGAGUCAGAGAGGCGACAGGAUAGGCAGCUGCCGAGAGAAGUACGCCUCUCUGCUGAGACCUGGAGAUGACGGGAAGGCCAGAUGCAGAGAGGAGCUACCCUCUCUGCUUAGAGCUGCCAGGAGGAGCUACCAACCUUCUCUGCUGAGAGCUGCAGAGAUGACCUGCUGGCAGAGAGGAGCUACCCACUGCGGGUCUCCUCUGAUCUGUUGUAAUGCUGAAUAAAGCUUCUUUUCAUCUUGUUCACCUUCCACUUGUCUGCAUACCUCAUUCUACCCGGACGCAAGCAAGAACUCGAGCAAAGGCACAACCAGCCACAGAGGUUUCUGGCCAGAAAAUCGACACCCCAAAAGUCCUAUAACAAUCUGAUUCUAAAAGCAACAUCAUCUUUUCAAUGUAAUUCUAAAAGAAUUUGGGAUUAUUUUAUUUAAUUUCAGGAUCCCCUCUGAAGAAAAUCAACUUACAAAGGAUGGCAGGUCUUAAGAAAGGUACUUAGCAAGUGCUGGUACAUUCUAAGCAAUCAAUAUUUGUCAAUGUUCAGUAAUUGUACAAUUGUACUAGAGAAAACAAUUCCAGGGGCUUAAAAUUAUCUUAUACAAGGAUCCACUUUAUUAUUAUUUUUUCUGUUUGUUUUGGAUAAAUUACUGACUCCUUAUCUCAGUUAUGUUAUGUGUUAAAUGUUUACAGUGUUAUUUUGUAUCUCUCAAGGGCUUUUGUUAGAAUUUUCAAUGAGAUACCUUAAAACCUCUAAAAAGAAAAUGGAUGUUAUAAGUAAAUAAAAAUAAGUCUGAAUGGC
Molecule: long non-coding RNA, 2030 nt
Filed under: Homo sapiens (human)
Lineage: Eukaryota; Metazoa; Chordata; Mammalia; Primates; Hominidae
Description: uncharacterized LOC102724542, transcript variant 24 (LOC102724542)
Source: RNAcentral